RNAcentral lists this ribosomal RNA (492 nucleotides) under uncultured bacterium. Its description in RNAcentral is "partial 16S ribosomal RNA". It matches the Rfam family "Bacterial small subunit ribosomal RNA", at positions 29 to 507 of the family's 1533-position model. The record is from RNAcentral.
AGUGAACGCUGGCGGUAGGCCUAACACAUGCAAGUCGAACGGCAGCACAGUAAGAGCUUGCUCUUACGGGUGGCGAGUGGCGGACGGGUGAGGAAUACAUCGGAAUCUACUUUUUCGUGGGGGAUAACGUAGGGAAACUUACGCUAAUACCGCAUACGACCUACGGUUGAAAGCAGGGGAUCUUCGGACCUUGCGCGAUUGAAUGAGCCGAUUUCGGAUUAGCUAGUUGGCGGGGUAAAGGCCCACCAAGGCGACGAUCCGUAGCUGGUCUGAGAGGAUGAUCAGCCACACUGGAACUGAGACACGGUCAAGACUCCUACGGGAGGCAGCAGUGGGGAAUAUUGGACAAUGGGCGCAAGCCUGAUCCAGCCAUACCGCGUGGGUGAAGAAGGCCUUCGGGUUGUAAAGCCCUUUUGUUGGGAAAGAAAAGCAGCAGGUUAAUACCCCGCUGUUCUGACGGUACCCAAAGAAUAAGCACCGGCUAACUUCGUG